AGUGAACGCUGGCGGUAGGCCUAACACAUGCAAGUCGAGCGGCAGCACAGUAAGAGCUUGCUCUUACGGGUGGCGAGUGGCGGACGGGUGAGGAAUACAUCGGAAUCUACUUUUUCGUGGGGGAUAACGUAGGGAAACUUACGCUAAUACCGCAUACGACCUACGGGUGAAAGCAGGGGAUCUUCGGACCUUGCGCGAUUGAAUGAGCCGAUGUCGGAUUAGCUAGUUGGCGGGGUAAAGGCCCACCAAGGCGACGAUCCGUAGCUGGUCUGAGAGGAUGACCAGCCACACUGGAACUGAGACACGGUCCAGACUCCUACGGGAGGCAGCAGUGGGGAAUAUUGGACAAUGGGCGCAAGCCUGAUCCAGCCAUACCGCGUGGGUGAAGAAGGCCUUCGGGUUGUAAAGCCCUUUUGUUGGGAAAGAAAAGCAGCAGGUUAAUACCCCGCUGUUCUGACGGUACCCAAAGAAUAAGCACCGGCUAACUUCGUG
Molecule: ribosomal RNA, 492 nt
Filed under: uncultured bacterium
Lineage: Bacteria
Description: partial 16S ribosomal RNA
Rfam family: Bacterial small subunit ribosomal RNA
Source: RNAcentral